CGGCGAGUGAAGCGGCAACAGCUCAAAUUUGAAAUCUGGCUCUUUCAGGGUCCGAGUUGUAAUUUGUAGAGGAUGUUUCGGGUGUGGCUCCGGUCUAAGUUCCUUGGAACAGGACGUCAUAGAGGGUGAGAAUCCCGUAUGUGACUGGUAGCCUAUGCCCAUGUGAAACUCCUUCGACGAGUCGAGUUGUUUGGGAAUGCAGCUCAAAAUGGGUGGUAAAUUUCAUCUAAAGCUAAAUAUUGGCCAGAGACCGAUAGCGCACAAGUAGAGUGAUCGAAAGAUGAAAAGCACUUUGGAAAGAGAGUUAAACAGUACGUGAAAUUGUUGAAAGGGAAGCGCUUGCAACCAGACUUGCAUGUAGCUGAUCAACCGGUGUUCUCACCGGUGCACUCAGUUGCGUUCAGGCCAGCAUCGGUUUCGACGGUUGGAUAAAGGCCUUGGGAAUGUAGCUUCUUUCGGGGAGUGUUAUAGCCCAGGGUGCAAUGCAGCCUGUCGGGACCGAGGACCGCGCUUCGGCUAGGAUGCUGGCGUAAUGGUUGUAAGCGACCCGUCUUGAAACACGGACCAAGGAGUCUAACAUCUAUGCGAGUGUUUGGGUGUCAAACCCAUACGCGUAAUGAAAGUGAACGGAGGUGAGAACCCUUAAGGGUGCAUCAUCGACCGAUCCUGAUGUCUUCGGAUGGAUUUGAGUAAGAGCAUAGCUGUUGGGACCCGAAAGAUGGUGAACUAUGCCUGAAUAGGGUGAAGCCAGAGGAAACUCUGGUGGAGGCUCGCAGCGGUUCUGACGUGCAAAUCGAUCGUCAAAUUUGGGUAUAG
RNAcentral lists this ribosomal RNA (816 nucleotides) under Phacidium lacerum. RNAcentral describes it as "eukaryotic LSU rRNA". It matches the Rfam family "Eukaryotic large subunit ribosomal RNA", at positions 87 to 920 of the family's 3401-position model. Lineage: Eukaryota; Fungi; Ascomycota; Leotiomycetes; Phacidiales; Phacidiaceae. The record is from RNAcentral.